AAGACGAGUAGGGCGGGGCACGUGAAACCCUGUCUGAAUAUGGGGGGACCAUCCUCCAAGGCUAAAUACUCCUGACCGACCGAUAGUGAACCAGUACCGUGAGGGAAAGGCGAAAAGAACCCCGGAGAGGGGAGUGAAAUAGAUCCUGAAACCGUGUGCGUACAAGCAGUAGGAGCUCGCAAGAGUGACUGCGUACCUUUUGUAUAAUGGGUCAGCGACUUACUGUUCGUGGCAAGCUUAACCGUAUAGGGGAGGCGAAGGGAAACCGAGUCUGAUAAGGGCGCAUAGUCGCGGGCAGUAGACCCGAAACCGGGUGAUCUAGUCAUGGCCAGGGUGAAGGUGCCGUAACAGGUACUGGAGGCCCGAACCCACGUCUGUUGCAAAAGACGGGGAUGAGCUGUGAUUAGGAGUGAAAAGCUAAUCGAACCCGGAGAUAGCUGGUUCUCCUCGAAAGCUAUUUAGGUAGCGCCUCAUAUGUAUCCUCUCGGGGGUAGAGCACUGUUAUGGCUAGGGGGUCAUCGCGACUUACCAAACCAUUGCAAACUCCGAAUACCGAGACGGACUGUAUGGGAGACACACGGCGGGUGCUAACGUCCGUCGUGAAAAGGGAAACAACCCAGACCCACAGCUAAGGUCCCAAAUUCACUGCUAAGUGGAAAACGAUGUGGAAAGGCAUAGACAGCCAGGAGGUUGGCUUAGAAGCAGCCACCCUUUAAAGAAAGCGUAAUAGCUCACUGGUCGAGUCGGUCUGCGCGGAAGAUUUAACGGGGCUAAGCAGUGAACCGAAGCUUGGGGUGCAUAAAACUUGUUUUAUGCGCGGUAGAGGAGCGUUCCGUAAGCCUGCGAAGGUGGAUUGAGAAGUCUGCUGGAGGUAUCGGAAGUGCGAAUGCUGACAUGAGUAACGAUAAUGCGGGUGAAAAGCCCGCACGCCGAAAGCCCAAGGUUUCCUUGCGCAACGUUAAUCGACGCAGGGUUAGUCGGUCCCUAAGGCGAGGGCGAAAGCCGUAGUCGAUGGGAAGCAGGUUAAUAUUCCUGCACCUCGCGUGAGUGCGAUGGAGGGACGGAGAAGGUUAGGUGUACCGGGCGUUGGUUGUCCCGGGGAAAGGCGGUAGGUUUGGAUCUUUGGCAAAUCCGGGAUCCUUUAAGACCGAGCACCGAGACGAGCCUUUAUGGCGAAGUCACUGAUACCACGCUUCCAGGAAAAGCUCCUAAGCUUCAGCUCACGAAGACCGUACCGUAAACCGACACAGGUGGGUAGGAUGAGAAUUCUCAGGCGCUUGAGAGAACUCGGGUGAAGGAACUAGGCAACAUGGCACCGUAACUUCGGGAGAAGGUGCACCCUUUUUGGUGGCUCGUGCGAGCUAUAGCUGAAGAGGGUCGCAGAAACCAGGCCGCUGCGACUGUUUAUCAAAAACACAGCACUCUGCAAACACGAAAGUGGACGUAUAGGGUGUGACGCCUGCCCGGUGCUGGAAGGUUAAUUGAUGGGGUCAGCCGCAAGGCGAAGCUCUUGAUCGAAGCCCCAGUAAACGGCGGCCGUAACUAUAACGGUCCUAAGGUAGCGAAAUUCCUUGUCGGGUAAGUUCCGACCUGCACGAAUGGCGUAACGACAGCGGCGCUGUCUCCACCCGAGACUCAGUGAAAUUGAAAUCGCUGUGAAGAUGCAGCGUUCCCGUGGCAAGACGGAAAGACCCCGUGAACCUUUACUAUAGCUUUACACUGAACGUUGAGUUCGUCUGUGUAGGAUAGGUGGGAGGCUAUGAAACUGUGGCGCUAGCUGCAGUGGAGCCAUCCUUGAAAUACCACCCUGUCGUGCUUGACGUUCUAACCUAGGUCCGUUAUCCGGAUCAGGGACCGUGUAUGGUGGGUAGUUUGACUGGGGCGGUCUCCUCCUAAAGAGUAACGGAGGAGCACGAAGGUACGCUCAGCGCGGUCGGACAUCGCGCACUGUGUGCAAAGGCAUAAGCGUGCUUGACUGCAAGAUCGACGGAUCAAGCAGGUACGAAAGUAGGUCUUAGUGAUCCGGUGGUUCUGUAUGGAAGGGCCAUCGCUCAACGGAUAAAAGGUACUCCGGGGAUAACAGGCUGAUACCGCCCAAGAGUUCAUAUCGACGGCGGUGUUUGGCACCUCGAUGUCGGCUCAUCACAUCCUGGGGCUGUAGUCGGUCCCAAGGGUAUGGCUGUUCGCCAUUUAAAGUGGUACGCGAGCUGGGUUCAGAACGUCGUGAGACAGUUCGGUCCCUAUCUGCCAUGGGCGUUGGAAGUUUGAGAGGGGCUGCUCCUAGUACGAGAGGACCGGAGUGGACGAACCUCUGGUGUUCCGGUUGUCACGCCAGUGGCAUUGCCGGGUAGCUAUGUUCGGAAGCGAUAACCGCUGAAAGCAUCUAAGCGGGAAGCGCGCCUCAAGAUGAGACUUCCCGGGGCACAAGCCCCCUAAAGGAACCAUGUAGACUACGUGGUUGAUAGGUCAGGUGUGUAAGUACAGCAAUGUAUUGAGCUAACUGAUACUAAUGAUCCGUGCGGCUUGACCAU
Molecule: ribosomal RNA, 2531 nt
Filed under: Xanthomonas campestris pv. paulliniae
Lineage: Bacteria; Pseudomonadati; Pseudomonadota; Gammaproteobacteria; Lysobacterales; Lysobacteraceae
Description: partial 23S ribosomal RNA
Rfam family: Bacterial large subunit ribosomal RNA
Source: RNAcentral